RNAcentral lists this ribosomal RNA (590 nucleotides) under uncultured bacterium. Its description in RNAcentral is "partial 16S ribosomal RNA". It matches the Rfam family "Bacterial small subunit ribosomal RNA", at positions 355 to 1376 of the family's 1533-position model. The record is from RNAcentral.
UGGGGAAUAUUGCACAAUGGGCGCAAGCCUGAUGCAGCCAUGCCGCGUGUGUGAAGAAGGCCUUCGGGUUGUAAAGCACUUUCAGCGAGGAGGAAGGUGGUGAACUUAAUACGUUCAUCAAUUGACGUUACUCGCAGAAGAAGCACCGGCUAACUCCGUGCCAGCAGCCGCGGUAAUACGGAGGGUGCAAGCGUUAAUCGGAAUUACUGGGCGUAAAGCGCACGCAGGCGGUUUGUUAAGUCAGAUGUGAAAUCCCCGGGCUCAACCUGGGAACUGCAUUUGAAACUGGCAAGCUAGAGUCUCGUAGAGGGGGGUAGAAUUCCAGGUGUAGCGGUGAAACGCGUAGAGAUCUGGAGGAAUACCGGUGGCGAAGGCGGCCCCCUGGACGAAGACUGACGCUCAGGUGCGAAAGCGUGGGGAGCAAAACAGGAUUAGAUACCCUGGUAGUCCACGCUGUAAAACGAUGUCGAUUUUGGAGGUUGUGCCCUUGAGGCGUGGCUUCCGGAGCUAACGCGUUAAAUCGACCGCCUGGGGAGUACGGCCGCAAGGUUAAAACUUAAAUGAAUUGACGGGGUCAUAGCUGUUUCCUG